UACGUAGGGUGCAAGCGUUGUCCGGAAUUAUUGGGCGUAAAGAGCUCGUAGGCGGUUUGUCGCGUUGUCCGUGAAAUUCCCUGGCUUAACUGGGGGCGUGCGGGCGAUACGGGCAGACUGGAGUACUGCAGGGGAGACUGGAAUUCCUGGUGUAGCGGUGGAAUGCGCAGAUAUCAGGAGGAACACCGGUGGCGAAGGCGGGUCUCUGGGCAGUAACUGACGCUGAGGAGCGAAAGCGUGGGGAGCGAACAGG
This 253-nucleotide ribosomal RNA is filed under the name uncultured bacterium. Its description in RNAcentral is "partial 16S ribosomal RNA". It matches the Rfam family "Bacterial small subunit ribosomal RNA", at positions 524 to 776 of the family's 1533-position model. The record is from RNAcentral.